This 558-nucleotide ribosomal RNA is filed under the name uncultured bacterium. RNAcentral describes it as "bacterial SSU rRNA". It matches the Rfam family "Bacterial small subunit ribosomal RNA", at positions 803 to 1438 of the family's 1533-position model. The record is from RNAcentral.
UAAACGAUGUCGACUUGGAGGUUGUGGCUUCCGGAGCUAACGCGUUAAGUCGACCGCUGGGGAGUACGGCCGCAAGGUUAAAACUCAAAUGAAUUGACGGGGGCCCGCACAAGCGGUGGAGCAUGUGGUUUAAUUCGAUGCAACGCGAAGAACCUUACCUGGUCUUGACAUCCAGGUGCUGCAUGGCUGUCGUCAGCUCGUGUUGUGAAAUGUUGGGUUAAGUCCCGCAACGAGCGCAACCCUUAUCCUUUGUUGCAACUCAAAGGAGACUGCCAGUGAUAAACUGGAGGAAGGUGGGGAUGACGUCAAGUCAUCAUGGCCCUUACGACCAGGGCUACACACGUGCUACAAUGGCGCAUACAAAGAGAAGCGACCUCGCGAGAGCAAGCGGACCUCAUAAAGUGCGUCGUAGUCCGGAUUGGAGUCUGCAACUCGACUCCAUGAAGUCGGAAUCGCUAGUAAUCGUGGAUCAGAUGCCACGGUGAAUACGUUCCCGGGCCUUGUACACACCGCCCGUCACACCAUGGGAGUGGGUUGCAAAAGAAGUAGGUUACCACU